UACGGGGGAUGCAAGCGUUAUCCGGAUUUAUUGGGUUUAAAGGGUGCGUAGGCUGUGAGGUAAGUCAGCGGUGAAAUGCCCCCGCUCAACGGGGUAAAGUGCCAUUGAUACUGCCUUGCUGGAAUGCGGAUGCCGUGGGAGGAAUGUGUGGUGUAGCGGUGAAAUGCAUAGAUAUCACACAGAACACCGAUUGCGAAGGCAUCUCACGAAUCCGCGAUUGACGCUGAUGCACGAAAGCGUGGGUAUCAAACAGG
This 254-nucleotide ribosomal RNA is filed under the name uncultured bacterium. RNAcentral's name for it is "partial 16S ribosomal RNA". It matches the Rfam family "Bacterial small subunit ribosomal RNA", at positions 524 to 776 of the family's 1533-position model. The record is from RNAcentral.